UCGGGCCGCAUUGCAGUCGCCCGGCUUUAGCCAAGGCAUUCGCCCAAGCACUGC
Molecule: non-coding RNA, 54 nt
Filed under: unclassified sequences
Description: chromate-resist RNA
Rfam family: chrB-b RNA
Source: RNAcentral